AUACGUAGGGGGCGAGCGUUGUCCGGAAUGAUUGGGCGUAAAGGGCGCGUAGGCGGCUUUGCAAGUCAGUAGUGGAAGUCCAUUUUUCAAGGAUGGAAGUGCUACAGAAACUGCGGAGCUUGAGUGCAGGAGAGGUUAUCGGAAUUCCCGGUGUAGCGGUGAAAUGCGUAGAGAUCGGGAGGAACACCAGUGGCGAAGGCGGGUAACUGGACUGCAACUGACGCUGAGGCGCAAAAGUGUGGGGAGCAAACAGGAUUAGAUACCCUGGUAAACCACACUGUAAACGAUGAAUGCUAGGUGUAGGAGGUAUCGACCCCUUCUGUGCCGCAGUUAACGCAAUAAGCAAUCCACCUGGGGAGUACGGCCGCAAGGCUAAAACUCAAAUGAAUUGACGGGG
RNAcentral lists this ribosomal RNA (397 nucleotides) under uncultured bacterium. RNAcentral's name for it is "partial 16S ribosomal RNA". It matches the Rfam family "Bacterial small subunit ribosomal RNA", at positions 523 to 918 of the family's 1533-position model. The record is from RNAcentral.